This 1043-nucleotide long non-coding RNA is filed under the name Homo sapiens (human). Its description in RNAcentral is "HSALNT0076385". The record is from RNAcentral. Lineage: Eukaryota; Metazoa; Chordata; Mammalia; Primates; Hominidae.
UAUCCCAGAUAGGUAUGUCUUUUAUUGGGGAUGAACAAAGAAAAAAAGCCUUAAUUCAAAGGAGUAUAUUUUCAAAAGUGAAAUUUCAGGCAGGGUGUUAGGAUAGGCUAAACUGUCAUCCAAGAUUCAAACACAAUGGAAUUUUAUUUCUCGUGCACCUAACAGUCCAGUGUGGAUAUUUGGGUUAUUGGACGGAUUUCCUUUAUGUGGUCAUUCAGAGCCCCUCUGGUGAGGCCUCUGGUUAUAUGCAGCCAGAAGUGGAGGGGAAGGAGAGUGUGGAGGCCCAGCUGCUGUCUUGAGAGCUCAGAUUCAGGAGAAGCACUCCAUCUGGGCUGAUCGUUCACCGAGAGAACUUAGUCACAUGGUCUCCUCCUUUGCCAGUUGCUGUUGUUUUAUUCUGGAAGUAAAGGAAUAUGGAUUUUGGCAGACAACCAACAGUCUCAGCCCAAAUCAACAGCCCACAGUGUGGAGAUUUGUUGCUUGGGAGGGGUGCAGACAAAGAGGAAGAUGAUCUUCUUCCUAAUGUGCCUUCAACUGUGUCCUGUAGCUCCUCAUCACCUCCACCUAAGCUGAAGCCCAGUGCUGCUGAUGCAAUGAACUCCCAGGAGUUUUCAAAUUUACUAACAUCAUUUUAACUCUCUGUGGCUCAGCCUAGGUUUGUAACAGUAGAAAAGUACAAUGUGGACCUGCAUAUCACUGGCCAGUAGAUCUUCAAGAGCCAGCUCCUUCAGGCUCCAAGCAGACCCUGAACUCAAGGGUAAAUCACCAACGUCCUGAGAUGGGAAGGUGCAGCUUGAUCCCACUCACUAACUCGAAGCCUUUGCUUUGCUGGGGAUCAUCCAGGCUACUGACUUCUCCUUUUCCCUGGUUUCUUCUCUUUUCCCAGACAAGUUGCACUGCUGAUCAUCAGCAGACAAGUUGCACUGUUGAUCAGCACCUGAACCAGGUGGUGCCGAGAAGGAGACAGAGAUGAUGAAAUAAACAUCAGCUUGGUAAUUACUUCUUAAGCCUGAUGAAAAUAGAGUUGACCGGUUGCAGCUGAA